Molecule: transfer RNA, 67 nt
Filed under: Enallagma cyathigerum
Lineage: Eukaryota; Metazoa; Arthropoda; Insecta; Odonata; Coenagrionidae
Description: tRNA-Ile
Source: RNAcentral
AAUAAAGUGCCUGAGCUAAAGGGUCAUUUUGAUAGAAUGAAUUACGUAAUUUUUAUUACCUUUAUUA